RNAcentral lists this ribosomal RNA (253 nucleotides) under uncultured bacterium. Its description in RNAcentral is "partial 16S ribosomal RNA". It matches the Rfam family "Bacterial small subunit ribosomal RNA", at positions 524 to 776 of the family's 1533-position model. The record is from RNAcentral.
CACGUAGGAGGCGAGCGUUGUCCGGAAUCACUGGGCGUAAAGGGUGCGUAGGCGGGUCUUUAAGUCAGGGGUGAAAUCCUGGAGCUCAACUCCAGAACUGCCUUUGAUACUGAGGAUCUUGAGUUCGGGAGAGGUGAGUGGAACUGCGAGUGUAGAGGUGAAAUUCGUAGAUAUUCGCAAGAACACCAGUGGCGAAGGCGGCUCACUGGCCCGAUACUGACGCUGAGGCACGAAAGCGUGGGGAGCAAACAGG